GAUGAACGCUGGCGGCGUGCUUAACACAUGCAAGUCGAACGAUGAAGCCCAGCUUGCUGGGUGGAUUAGUGGCGAACGGGUGAGUAACACGUGAGUAACCUGCCCUUAACUCUGGGAUAAGCCUGGGAAACUGGGUCUAAUACCGGAUAGGAGCGCCUACCGCAUGGUGGGUGUUGGAAAGAUUUAUCGGUUUUGGAUGGACUCGCGGCCUAUCAGCUUGUUGGUGAGGUAAUGGCUCACCAAGGCGACGACGGGUAGCCGGCCUGAGAGGGUGACCGGCCACACUGGGACUGAGACACGGCCCAGACUCCUACGGGAGGCAGCAGUGGGGAAUAUUGCACAAUGGGCGAAAGCCUGAUGCAGCGACGCCGCGUGAGGGAUGACGGCCUUCGGGUUGUAACCCUCUUUCAGUAGGGAAGAAGCGAAAGUGACGGUACCUGCAGAAGAAGCACCGGCUAACUACGUG
RNAcentral lists this ribosomal RNA (466 nucleotides) under uncultured bacterium. RNAcentral describes it as "partial 16S ribosomal RNA". It matches the Rfam family "Bacterial small subunit ribosomal RNA", at positions 28 to 507 of the family's 1533-position model. The record is from RNAcentral.